RNAcentral lists this ribosomal RNA (253 nucleotides) under uncultured bacterium. RNAcentral describes it as "partial 16S ribosomal RNA". It matches the Rfam family "Bacterial small subunit ribosomal RNA", at positions 524 to 776 of the family's 1533-position model. The record is from RNAcentral.
CACGUAGGGCGCAAGCGUUGUCCGGAAUUAUUGGGCGUAAAGAGCUCGUAGGCGGACUGUCACGUCUGCUGUGAAAAGCUGGGGCUUAACCCCUGGCUUGCAGUGGAUACGGACAGACUAGAGGUAGGUAGGGGAGAAUGGAAUUCCCGGUGUAGCGGUGAAAUGCGCAGAUAUCGGGAGGAACACCGGUGGCGAAGGCGGUUCUCUGGGCCUUACCUGACGCUGAGGAGCGAAAGCGUGGGGAGCGAACAGG